Molecule: ribosomal RNA, 222 nt
Filed under: uncultured bacterium
Lineage: Bacteria
Description: partial 16S ribosomal RNA
Rfam family: Bacterial small subunit ribosomal RNA
Source: RNAcentral
UGGGCGUAAAGAGCUCGUAGGAGGUUUGUUAAGUCAGGGGUUAAAGACCGAGGCUCAACCUCGGGAGUGCCUUUGAUACUGGCAGACUGGAGGACGGCAGAGGAAAGUGGAAUUCCCAGUGUAGCGGUGAAAUGCGUAGAUAUUGGGAGGAACACCAGUGGCGAAAGCGACUUUCUGGGCCGUUCCUGACGCUGAGGUACGAAAGCGUGGGGAGCAAACAGG